CUGCCCUUUCAGACCAUGGAGCUGCUCAUUGGGGGACUUUUUUGGCUCCGCCCACGUGACCCAGCCAAUCGGCCUCAAGAGCAGGAGGAUUGUUGGAGGUGGAGAGAUGCUUGUGUGGGAGAGAGAGGCUUGUGGAAAGCCGGUGGUGGCAGUUGAGGCUCUGAGGGUUUUUCCUGAGAGGCUGUUUUGUUUGGUGUGUGUGGUUCUAAAAAUAAAGUUAGUUUCUUUUGACAAGUGGCUCCUGAUUGUGCCCAGCCAGACUGCGGCAGGUUACUAAUUGAAAAAUAAUUAUGUUGUAGGUCUGACUUAGAUGGUUUCUGAAGGCUUGAUAUUAUGAGAUUGAACAAAUCAUGAAAAUAAUGAUGAUGAAAUUGUUUGUUUCCAGUAAUGGUGGAUAAUAAAAUGGGCUUGAUAGGUGGAAGGGAUUCUGGGAUGAAAAGUAGACUUAAAAAGUCUUUAGCAUGUAAAAUAACUGUGAGGCAAAAGUGUAAUUUUGGAACAGGAAUGAGUGGAAUUUUUUAAAAUUUAGAGAAAGAAUUGUUAUAACAAUUAGAAUUUUGUAUUAAGUCAACAUUAAAACUUGUUUAGAAAAUUUUGCUUUAAAUAUUAGUUAAAUAUAUGAAUAUGUAUUAACUCUCUUUCUUCCUGAAGCGGGGCAAUAAUAAAAUAUCAAUUUCUUAAGAUUAUUUAAACUGUAUAAAUAUUCUUUAUAAGGUUACCUUCCCAUUAGUUUCUUAGGAAGAAUAAUGGUUAUUUUCUUUUAAAAAAUAUUUGUUCUAAGUAGUUAUACAUGAAGCAGAAUGCAUUUCAACUUACUGUACACAAAUGAGCACAACUUCUCAUUUGCUGUACAUGAUGCAGAGUCACACACAUGCAAUCAUACAUCUACAUAAGGUAAGAUUGUAAGGUAUGGGUUGGGGUUGUGGCUCAGUGGUAGAACA
This 941-nucleotide long non-coding RNA is filed under the name Marmota monax (woodchuck). The record is from RNAcentral. Lineage: Eukaryota; Metazoa; Chordata; Mammalia; Rodentia; Sciuridae.